UACAUAGGGGGCAAGCGUUAUCCGGAUUCACUGGGUGUAAAGGGAGCGUAGACGGCGACGCAAGUCUGGAGUGAAAGCCCGGGGCCCAACCCCGGGACUGCUCCGGAAACUGCGUCGCUGGAGUACGGGAGGGGCAGGCGGAAUUCCUGGUGUAGCGGUGAAAUGCGUAGAUAUCAGGAGGAACACCGGCGGCGAAGGCGGCCUGCUGGACCGUGACUGACGUUGAGGCUCGAGAGCGUGGGGAGCAAACAGG
This 253-nucleotide ribosomal RNA is filed under the name uncultured bacterium. RNAcentral describes it as "partial 16S ribosomal RNA". It matches the Rfam family "Bacterial small subunit ribosomal RNA", at positions 524 to 776 of the family's 1533-position model. The record is from RNAcentral.